RNAcentral lists this ribosomal RNA (253 nucleotides) under uncultured bacterium. RNAcentral describes it as "partial 16S ribosomal RNA". It matches the Rfam family "Bacterial small subunit ribosomal RNA", at positions 524 to 776 of the family's 1533-position model. The record is from RNAcentral.
UACGUAGGGUGCAAGCGUUGUCCGGAAUUAUUGGGCGUAAAGAGCUCGUAGGCGGUCUGUCGCGUCGGAUGUGAAAAUCCAGGGCUUAACCCUGGACCUGCAUUCGAUACGGGCAGACUAGAGUUCGGUAGGGGAGACUGGAAUUCCUGGUGUAGCGGUGAAAUGCGCAGAUAUCAGGAGGAACACCGGUGGCGAAGGCGGGUCUCUGGGCCGAUACUGACGCUGAGGAGCGAAAGCGUGGGGAGCAAACAGG